This 312-nucleotide ribosomal RNA is filed under the name uncultured Glomus. RNAcentral describes it as "SSU rRNA". It matches the Rfam family "Eukaryotic small subunit ribosomal RNA", at positions 570 to 886 of the family's 1831-position model. The record is from RNAcentral. Lineage: Eukaryota; Fungi; Glomeromycota; Glomeromycetes; Glomerales; Glomeraceae.
GCAGCCGCGGUAAUUCCAGCUCCAAUAGCGUAUAUUAAAGUUGUUGCAGUUAAAAAGCUCGUAGUUGAAUUUCGGGGCCAGUAGGUUGGUCGUGCCACUGGUAUGCACUGGCCUCACUGGUCCCUCCUUCUUGUAGAACCGUGAUGGCAUUAAUUUGUUGUUGCGGGGAAACAGGACUGUUACUUUGAAAAAAUUAGAGUGCUUAAAGCAGGCUCGCGCUUGAAUACAUUAGCAUGGAAUAACGAAAUAGGACGAUCGAACCUAUUUUGUUGGUUUCUAGGAUCGACGUAAUGAUUAAUAGGGAUAGUUGGG